This is a non-coding RNA of Penaeus vannamei (Pacific white shrimp), 641 nucleotides long. The record is from RefSeq and is a predicted model, not a curated record. Lineage: Eukaryota; Metazoa; Arthropoda; Malacostraca; Decapoda; Penaeidae.
GUUGAGGAAGAAGGAGGAGGAGGAGGAGGAGGCGGAGGAGCAGCGCGCGAGGGAGGGAGGAGGGCCGUCAGUAGGGCUACGUGCAGGCUAGCCGUCGGGUGCAGCGGGAGACGCGCGCGGGAGCACGAGGGAGCUGGUCGGCCGCUGUGGCCUCGCGUUCGACGGUGCGGGAGUCGGAGCGCGGGAGCUGACCUUAAAACUGCCAUCAAGUGAAAAUAUUACCUAAAAGAAAAAAGAAAAGAACAAAAAAGUGAGUGAGAUAAUAAAUAAUGGAAGGACCAGGAAGAUGAAUAAAUAUACACAAAGGAAAAGGAGAAAACUAGAAAGAGGUUUGCGAUCGUGAACUCCUAAGACCGUUGAAAUCUGCGGUGCCAAGUGUUGCCAAGGUGACCCUGAGGAUUAAGGUGCGCUGCCUCAAGAAACGUUUCUGAAGCCCCGACCACUUCGAGAAAAAAACGUUUCUCCAAGCGAAUAAAGUUCUGAAGGUCCGCCCACGUGGAGGGAAAACGUUUCUGAAACCCCUCUAUCGAAAGGAAUACUGCAGACUCCGCUUGCAUCAUCAUAGAAGCUUUGCAGACUCCGCCCACCUCCUGCAAAGGGAGGAAAUGAAGCUGUUGGUGGUUUUAGCAAUGUGUGCCUGC